RNAcentral lists this small RNA (1090 nucleotides) under Drosophila ananassae. RNAcentral describes it as "GF28036". Lineage: Eukaryota; Metazoa; Arthropoda; Insecta; Diptera; Drosophilidae. The record is from RNAcentral.
GCCAUUUUCAACUGACGCCAUUUUCCACUGAGAAGACGCUAACUUUGACAAUAAGAAAACCCGAGAAAUCCUAAACAGGAGGCGUUAAAAGUCAAGGAACUCAUCCCGCCGAUGCGCCGAAGAGGUAAACCUAAUGAAAGGCGCCCUGAUGGUCAUGGGCCCGGACAGAAUUACCAACACACAAAGAAUGUGUGCGGAUAGCCCCUACACCGUUUUCCAAACCAUGUCGGAUCUGGAAUUGUAAACCUGGAGAUGCGCCGAAGCAAGGAACUCAUGUCGCCAGCAUGCGGCUGUCCUCUGGUUAGUUGCGAAAGUCGGCUGCGCAGCGACGUGGGACUAUGUAUUCUGGAACUACUUUUAACCACCUUAUACUCGAUGGAAAAUGUCUACAAAUACGAAAAAUUUGGUCGAAUGCUGUUCUGAAUCAAUUCAGCUUCUGCUCGAGCUUGCAGCAACCUACGUUCACAUAUUUUUAUUAUUUUGAUGUAUAUUUUUGGAUGCUAAGAUUAACCAUUAAGUACGUAAGUGAGCUGGGACAAACACACAUGGAAUGUGAUGGGCAUGACGAUACGAUUGUCUAGCCAUCCGAUUCUAAACCUGGAGAUGCGCAGAAGCAAGGAACUUAUGUCGCCAGCACGUGGUUGUCUUUGACGGACAGGUGGGGAUGCACACCUGCGGAGAUCUUGAAACAUGUGUUCAUCAUGUCCCUCCACUGUCUGCCUGGCACAUUGGUGCGACAAGCUGCAUCGAAAAUAGCAACAUAAAUAUUAUCGACUUCGUUUGGAAGACCACUGCUAACCAUGAAAUGCAAUGAAGCUACUUUUAUAGCAGUUCACCCAGUAGGGUUAUGCGAACGCUUGGAGCCCCACGAUCAUCGCCCACAAUUAAAGGAAGAUCUUCAAAAUUACGUCGUCGCACAUGCCUUUAGAAAUCUGUUACGGCUCAUGGUCCCCUCCAAUUAGUUUUUUCAAAAAAUCUAGUAGCUUCUUAGAUAUCAUUAUUUAAGAGGCCUAUUUCAAGAUUAGUUAAAUUAUUUUUAGUCUGUAACCUGUAGUAUUCUGUAGUGUUCAUUAAAAAGAGUGAUAGAUUG